GUCCUGGGUUUGAUGGUGGUUAGUUAGUCCAAGGUAAAUAAAGACCUGUGUAGGUAUGCAAAGUAGAUGGAUGUUUAUAGACUUGAUGUCAAUUGUUGAGAGAUUCGCUUUAUACAUGUUAUUUAUUCUUAUCAUUUGUUGCCACUACAAUCCCUCCAUGGCCCCCUUUAUUCCCCUACUCCCAUGUAGUUUGUGCGUGGGACGAGGGUGGGAAGUUGAAAGCAUAUGCACAGCUUCCAUAUCCACUAUUCUUCCUUGGCCGUUAUAUCCGGACAGAAAAGGAGAAACAAAAAACAAAAAACAAAAUAAACCAAAAAAAUAAAGGUAAGGAAAGCAAAGGAACUGGAAAGCAACGAACCCCUUGAAAAAAACAAAUACUGAUCCAAGAAUCGAAAAUCACAACCUACAAUUUCGCAAAUACCCCAUUCAUCGCGGCGAACAAGCCGCUCGCAACCGCUAGGACGACCCAGCUAUGCGCCGAUGAAGAUGAGCGUGGAGCUGUAUUUUCUUUCCCUUUCCCUUUCCCUUGCCCACGCUCAUUGCCUUCUUCCUUUCGUCUUGCGGGCUCUGGCGUUGAUACUUCGCCCACAGCUGGUGAGACAUCCACGGGACUCGUGGCCUGAUUGUUGACCCUUCGACGCACCAUGUCAAAUCAAGAAUGGGUUGGGAUGAGGGUUGGGGGAAUGAUGAAAGAAGGGGUGUGGUUGUUUGUUGGUGAUGUGUAAGUAGUACUAGUAUGGAUGUAUACACGGAAGGCGGGAGAAAGCAAAUUCAAUGGGAGAUAUUUAUCGUUAUUGAGCCGGCCGGCAAUAACUAAAUUGUCCAGCUAUAUGGGGGGAAUGUUGGGUGGUGGAGCUAUCUAUAACUACUUCGUUUUCCGGCGGUGACGUUGAAAGAUGUAAAUGAGAGGCGUCUAAAGCGCUUGCCGCGUUUAUCAGUGUGGGGAAGAGAGAGAAUGGCAAAAGCAUCAAAACGCCAUUUUGAAACGAUGAAAAUUCAAUUGAAGCUAAAAGGAGGCGUUUGCUUCAGGGUUGGAAGCAAUCCUCCCAUUUCUUUAUAUAUAACCCAAGCUUAACAAUAACUAAAAUGUCCUCUGGAGCAGAGGUAAAGAAAGGGUUCAUAAGGACUAAAAGCGGAGCUUUGUGUCUAAUUGUUUACCAAGCAAUAUCAUGGUGUUAACGUUCGUCAGGAAGCUGGAUGUACAUGUAUACUAAGGAGCAGCUUGCUGAAGCCGGCCUUGAUGCCAAUCUCGCGCUCAUGGGCAAGUCGAGCAGGCAACGAGAUCGGUAAUCAUGUAGACGAAACGCAGCUGUCCGAGACGGAUUGAUUGCCUUCAAAUGAGCU
This 1344-nucleotide small RNA is filed under the name Histoplasma capsulatum var. duboisii H88. Its description in RNAcentral is "Histoplasma capsulatum H88 hypothetical RNA". The record is from RNAcentral. Lineage: Eukaryota; Fungi; Ascomycota; Eurotiomycetes; Onygenales; Ajellomycetaceae.